UGACGACGUUGCUAACACUAACCCUAG
This 27-nucleotide small RNA is filed under the name Bombyx mori (domestic silkworm). RNAcentral's name for it is "ovarian small RNA-8118". The record is from RNAcentral. Lineage: Eukaryota; Metazoa; Arthropoda; Insecta; Lepidoptera; Bombycidae.